This 76-nucleotide transfer RNA is filed under the name Desulfovibrio sp. RNAcentral's name for it is "tRNA-Ala". It matches the Rfam family "tRNA". From Rfam's summary of the family: Transfer RNA (tRNA) molecules are approximately 80 nucleotides in length. Their secondary structure includes four short double-helical elements and three loops (D, anti-codon, and T loops). Lineage: Bacteria; Pseudomonadati; Thermodesulfobacteriota; Desulfovibrionia; Desulfovibrionales; Desulfovibrionaceae. The record is from RNAcentral.
GGGGCUGUAGCUCAGCCGGGAGAGCAUCGGCUUUGCAAGCCGGAGGUCGUCGGUUCGAUCCCGACCAGCUCCACCA